Molecule: ribosomal RNA, 1057 nt
Filed under: Bacillus altitudinis
Lineage: Bacteria; Bacillati; Bacillota; Bacilli; Caryophanales; Bacillaceae
Description: bacterial SSU rRNA
Rfam family: Bacterial small subunit ribosomal RNA
Source: RNAcentral
CGACGAUGCGUAGCCGACCUGAGAGGGUGAUCGGCCACACUGGGACUGAGACACGGCCCAGACUCCUACGGGAGGCAGCAGUAGGGAAUCUUCCGCAAUGGACGAAAGUCUGACGGACCCACGCCGCGUGAGUGAUGAAGGUUUUCGGAUCGUAAAGCUCUGUUGUUAGGGAAGAACAAGUGCAAGAGUAACUGCUUGCACCUUGACGGUACCUAACCAGAAAGCCACGGCUAACUACGUGCCAGCAGCCGCGGUAAUACGUAGGUGGCAAGCGUUGUCCGGAAUUAUUGGGCGUAAAGGGCUCGCAGGCGGUUUCUUAAGUCUGAUGUGAAAGCCCCCGGCUCAACCGGGGAGGGUCAUUGGAAACUGGGAAACUUGAGUGCAGAAGAGGAGAGUGGAAUUCCACGUGUAGCGGUGAAAUGCGUAGAGAUGUGGAGGAACACCAGUGGCGAAGGCGACUCUCUGGUCUGUAACUGACGCUGAGGAGCGAAAGCGUGGGGAGCGAACAGGAUUAGAUACCCUGGUAGUCCACGCCGUAAACGAUGAGUGCUAAGUGUUAGGGGGUUUCCGCCCCUUAGUGCUGCAGCUAACGCAUUAAGCACUCCGCCUGGGGAGUACGGUCGCAAGACUGAAACUCAAAGGAAUUGACGGGGGCCCGCACAAGCGGUGGAGCAUGUGGUUUAAUUCGAAGCAACGCGAAGAACCUUACCAGGUCUUGACAUCCUCUGACAACCCUAGAGAUAGGGCUUUCCCUUCGGGGACAGAGUGACAGGUGGUGCAUGGUUGUCGUCAGCUCGUGUCGUGAGAUGUUGGGUUAAGUCCCGCAACGAGCGCAACCCUUGAUCUUAGUUGCCAGCAUUCAGUUGGGCACUCUAAGGUGACUGCCGGUGACAAACCGGAGGAAGGUGGGGAUGACGUCAAAUCAUCAUGGCCCUUAUGACCUGGGCUACACACGUGCUACAAUGGACAGAACAAAGGGCUGCGAGACCGCAAGGUUUAGCCAAUCCCACAAAUCUGUUCUCAGUUCGGAUCGCAGUCUGCAACUCGACUGCGUGAA